UGACCAAGAGCUCGAUGGAGCACACGGCUA
RNAcentral lists this non-coding RNA (30 nucleotides) under Rattus norvegicus (Norway rat). Lineage: Eukaryota; Metazoa; Chordata; Mammalia; Rodentia; Muridae. The record is from RNAcentral.